RNAcentral lists this unclassified non-coding RNA (212 nucleotides) under Hevea brasiliensis (rubber tree). Lineage: Eukaryota; Viridiplantae; Streptophyta; Magnoliopsida; Malpighiales; Euphorbiaceae. The record is from RNAcentral.
UAUACAAUUAACAAUAAAUUACACGACAGGCUAACCUGCCAACUUUUCCAUCUCCCCUUUCAGAUGGGGAAAAUGUGAUAAUUUUUGCUGCAAAUUCCACAAGUCGUAUUCCUUUAUUUAAAUUUUCUUCUACGUUUUCUUUCUCAUAAAGCUAUGUACCUGAGAAAUGUUUCCUAUUCCUACCCCUCCUUUCUGUUUCUGUGCCCAAUUUG